RNAcentral lists this ribosomal RNA (451 nucleotides) under uncultured bacterium. Its description in RNAcentral is "bacterial SSU rRNA". It matches the Rfam family "Bacterial small subunit ribosomal RNA", at positions 335 to 798 of the family's 1533-position model. The record is from RNAcentral.
ACUCCUACGGGAGGCAGCAGUGGGGAAUAUUGCACAAUGGGCGCAAGCCUGAUGCAGCAACGCCGUGUGAGUGAAGAAGGUUUUCGGAUCGUAAAACUCUGUCCUAAGGGAAGAAACAAAUGACGGUACCUUAGGAGGAAGCCCCGGCUAACUACGUGCCAGCAGCCGCGGUAAUACGUAGGGGGCAAGCGUUAUCCGGAAUCACUGGGGCGUAAAGGGUGCGUAGGCGGCUUAGCAAGCCAGGGGUGAAAGGCAUUGGCUCAACCAAUGUAAGCCUUUGGAACUGUUAAGCUUGAGUGCAGGAGAGGUAAGUGGAAUUCCUAGUGUAGAGGUGAAAUUCGUAGAUAUUAGGAGGAACACCAGUGGCGAAGGCGACUUACUGGACUGUAACUGACGCUGAUGCACGAAAGCGUGGGUAGCGAACAGGAUUAGAUACCCUGGUAGCGACUGA